This 253-nucleotide ribosomal RNA is filed under the name uncultured bacterium. RNAcentral describes it as "partial 16S ribosomal RNA". It matches the Rfam family "Bacterial small subunit ribosomal RNA", at positions 524 to 776 of the family's 1533-position model. The record is from RNAcentral.
UCCAGAGGGGGCAAGCGUUGUUCGGAAUUACUGGGCGUAAAGGGCGCGUAGGCGGCCUGCUAAGUCGAACGUGAAAUCCCUGGGCUCAACCCAGGAACUGCGUCCGAUACUGGUUGGCUUGAAUCCGGGAGAGGGAUGUGGAAUUCCAGGUGUAGCGGUGAAAUGCGUAGAUAUCGUAAGGAAGACCAGCGGCGAAGGCGGAUCUCUGGACAGUUACUGACACUGAGGCACGAAGGCCAGGGGAGCAAACGGG